Molecule: ribosomal RNA, 492 nt
Filed under: uncultured bacterium
Lineage: Bacteria
Description: partial 16S ribosomal RNA
Rfam family: Bacterial small subunit ribosomal RNA
Source: RNAcentral
AGUGAACGCUGGCGGUAGGCCUAACACAUGCAAGUCGAACGGCAGCACAGUAAGAGCUUGCUCUUACGGGUGGCGAGUGGCGGACGGGUGAGGAAUACAUCGGAAUCUACUUUUUCGUGGGGGAUAACGUAGGUAAACUUACGCUAAUACCGCAUACGACCUACGGGUGAAAGCAGGGGAUCUUCGGACCUUGCGCGAUUGAAUGAGCCGAUGUCGGAUUAGCUAGUUGGCGGGGUAAAGGCCCACCAAGGCGACGAUCCGUAGCUGGUCUGAGAGGAUGAUCGGCCACACUGGAACUGAGACACGGUCCAGACUCCUACGGGAGGCAGCAGUGGGGAAUAUUGGACAAUGGGCGCAAGCCUGAUCCAGCCAUACCGCGUGGGUGAAGAAGGCCUUCGGGUUGUAAAGCCCUUUUGUUGGGAAAGAAAAGCAGCAGGUUAAUACCCCGCUGUUCUGACGGUACCCAAAGAAUAAGCACCGGCUAACUUCGUG